UUAUAAACCACAGUUCUCAGCUCAGCACACGUAAAUAUUGCUUGUUUCAACCUCUUUUCAGUCUGCUUUGGAACAGUUGAUUGGCUGGGGAGAGUUUUAAAAGGAUCAAGCCCCACACACCAGACGAGCGAGGAAGUUUGGAAGAGCUCCUGGUUGUUGGCGUGUCUCUGAGCCUCGCUCCCGCUCCAUUGAUGUUAUUUUUUGUUUGUUAACUUCCCUCUUGUAUUGUUAAGUCUGGGGAUCGUUGGCCAAGCUGAGGUUUUCCGGUUUUUGGUUGUAGGGUGAGUGAUCCGGUGAGGCAGGGUGAGGGGAGCGACCCGAAUCCGACGGUCAACUCCUGGCUGGUUCGUGAAUGCUCCCACACUUUUGUUUAUUUUGCUACGAUUCCCCAGUACCUUUAUGUCCAGCCUAGGAUUGAAUAAAACCUUUUGUUUUAUGUAA
Long non-coding RNA from Poecilia reticulata (guppy), 441 nucleotides. RefSeq lists it as uncharacterized. NCBI's taxonomy places the organism in Eukaryota, Metazoa, Chordata, Actinopteri, Cyprinodontiformes, Poeciliidae. The record is from RefSeq and is a predicted model, not a curated record.